AUUGGACAAUGGGGGGAACCCUGAUCCAGCCAUGCCGCGUGUGUGAAGAAGGUCUUCNNNUUGUANAGCACUUUAAGUUGGGANGACNAGUUGUAGGCUAAUACCUUGCAAUUUUGACGUCACCAACAGAAUAAGCACCGGCUAACUUCGUGCCAGCAGCCGCGGUAAUACGAAGGGUGCAAGCGUUAAUCGGAAUUACUGGGCGUAAAGCGCGCGUAGGUGGUUCGUUAAGUUGGAAGUGAAAGCCCCGGGCUUAACCUGGGAAUUGCUUUCAUAACUGCUGAGCUAGAGUACGGUAGAGGGUAGUGGAAUUUCCUGUGUAGCGGUGAAAUGCGUAGAUAUAGGAAGGAACACCAGUGGCGAAGGCGACUACCUGGACUGAUACUGACACUGAGGUGCGAAAGCGUGGGGAGCAAACAGG
Molecule: ribosomal RNA, 421 nt
Filed under: uncultured bacterium
Lineage: Bacteria
Description: partial 16S ribosomal RNA
Rfam family: Bacterial small subunit ribosomal RNA
Source: RNAcentral